RNAcentral lists this non-coding RNA (28 nucleotides) under Mus musculus (house mouse). Lineage: Eukaryota; Metazoa; Chordata; Mammalia; Rodentia; Muridae. The record is from RNAcentral.
UCAAUUGGUAAGGUGCUUGCUAGCGUGC